UAGGGUUCUGUUCGCGACUGUGCCUUGAGAUCUAUUAUAUCUUUACUAUUAGUUGUUUCCCGUACCAGCAAUUUGUGUUGAACAAGACAUCGUUAGUUUGUUAUCCUUGUUCCUGUGUGGUAAACCAACAUCUUAUGAGAAUUUUGCGAUAUGUUAUGCCAGUUUAUAUCAGACGAGUUAUCCAUAUCUGUGCUCCUAUUUAUGCUUCGUUUGAUCUGUGUUAAUUGUUAUCGAUCCCUAAUGCAUGUACUUUUAUUUGCCAUGGUAACUAUAUGAUUCUAUGCCUGCUAGUCAUGGUAACUAUAUGAUUCUAUGCCUGGUAGUCAUGGUAACUGUAUGUGUCUAUGCCUGCUAAUCAUGAUAACUGUAUGAUUCUAUGCCUGCUAAUUAUGUGACAUGUGAACUGUAUGAUUUUUGUUUGCACUCUGGUAUGCUUUGUUUUCUUUGUUAAUCUUUACUUGUCAUAGUGUAUUGCUUCAGGAUUCUAUUUCUUGUAGUCAUAGUGAUUUGCUUGCUUAAUGCUCGAUGACAUUGAAGUUGAUGUCUGGAAGAGGUUUGUAGCCAUACUAAUGGUUAACAUGAGGUAGUAGUUUUAUCUUUGGAAUCCCUAGCAGGUACUAAAGUUUUGGAUUGCAUCUUCCUUCUAAAUUUACUUGACUAGUUUAGUGUCACCUCUUGAGUUAAAUAAGAACCUGGAGUAAGCUAUUGUGCUGUUAUUGUUGUGCCAUUGUGUGAAGUAUUGGUAUCCAUUUGCAUCUUCGCAGAAAUGGCGACAUGUUCUUUGAGAAAUCUUCCUCUGAAGCAUUCUGUCUGUUUUGUAUUUGCUAGAACAAGGAUGUUAUUCUUUUUGGGUGUUCGAUUUGUUUUGCUUGCUGUGGCACCUUUUUUUUUGCUUGCUGUGGCACCUGACGCAUAGCAGUUGUUUUAUCAGUCAAGCUUUGUUUUAUAGUCAAGCAUUUGUUACUGUAUUUCCCAGAGUACAUUAGUACAUUAGUACAUUUGUUACGUGUGUGUGAUCAUGUUUGCUUGUCUGUACAUAGCUGCAAUUGCCUGAUCGAUAGAGCGCCUUAGGGUUCAAAGGAUUUUAUAGCAAUUUUUGCUAUGUACUACCUCUGUACCGAAAUACUGUAGUUGAGGAUUUGCUCAUUUGCCGCUCCCGUAAUUUGUUUGCCCACGCACGUCGCCUGAAUCUGUUGUGCACAACUGACUCCCGUGCCCUCUAGGUAUUCCACCACUGCCAGCCGGGGUUGCCAUCGGAGGCACUCAAACAUCCAACAGUAUCAGUUGAUUGACAAACUGACUCGAUGGGUCAUUUCUCCCGCCGGUUGCCAUCGGUUCGAAAGGAACAUUGGCGCCGUGACACGAGACGGUGAGUAGAACAAACGCAUCAGCUGUUGGUCCGUGCCGCCAAUGCCUGCUUUGCCGGCUGGGCAAGCGAUCCCUCGUCCACACGCACAAGGAACCCUCUGUUUGACAUGCGUGCGGCCCGUCGUAUGCGGCCCUCCGUGACAUGGAUGAAGUGGCACGUUUAAGCACGAGGCACCCUCACGUUGAUGCAUAUCACUUCCGUGGUACGUGGACAGAAGGAACAUAUCUCACGGUUGUUGGGUGGAGGAAUUCACAAUUUAUCUGUACAACGAUGAUAUCUUAGAAGACCUAUGUAGUAUAAAUUGCUGAGCUUAACGAAAGAUAAUAAACUAUAAGAAAAAAGUUGUAUUUUUCUUAAUUAGGAUAUGAUCUCUUAGCAAUAAUAUUUGUCACCACUGACCACAUAUUUAGAAAUAUUUAGUUUAUCAAAGAAAAGACUGAUGCCAUGCAACUUUCUAUUUUUUUUCCUUGAUUACAUGAUGGGUUUAAGAUAAGACUAUCUUACUUGCCUUCAUAAAAAACGUUGAAAAUAACAUUUAAAUACUCCGAUGAACAGACACACCUUCAUGCGCCCUCCACGAGCCGAUGGAACAUGGAUAGGAUGAGCAUGCCAUUAUUUCUAAACCCGGCAACAUCGUCGCCUCGCGGCCUCGACUAACACACAGAGAAUUCUAAAACCAGGCUAAAUUAAAACCAAGACGCCUAUGCUGCUGUACGCCAAAUAUGAGCCAGAGGUCGAGCCAAACCACCAUCUAGGACCCUAUAUGCCGUCGGUGCAGGUAGCAUCGCCUGUAAGCGUCCCUGGUUGAGAAUUGCCGCUGCUCGAACACACAUCAACGACUGCCGCUAGCCCCGGCAUGAACUCAAUGUGGACACUUGACAGAUCAUCCCGGCAUCGUAGACGCCACAUGGGUUUUGCUCGAUGACAGACUUUGGCAGCAACGGGAGCGUAACGCUGGUGGCAGCUAGGGCUUCAGAGUUUGUCGCGAGAUAUAAGGACGAGUGAAUCAGGUUAGGUAAUUACGUUAGGCAGAACCCCGAAGUAAGAGGAAAUGAAUAUGACUUUGAACUACAAAUUUCACAUACUUAUGAACAUUAGCUGUCUAAUAUAGUACCAUGUCUAAUGACGGUGUACCUCAUUCCGAUGGGCAGGGAUGUAGGUUUGUGUAAAAACCGUAAAAAAAAAAAUAUAUAUAAUAAAUAAAUUAGAUAACGACAAUUUCAACGGCGUUGCCAAAACAUUAAUUAAAAUAAUAGAGACAACUACAUUUAUUAUUACAACAAAUAGCAUUUAGUCGUGCAAAACAAAUUCUUCUCCAAACCUCCAUAUAUUUUAUAGACCCUUGUCUCAUUUCUUUCCCAUAAAGUAAAUGCCAACUAAGGGCCAGCCAAACAAAUUACAACCGUCCAUAGUACAACCCAUAAGAGACACAAGUGGAGGUAUGCAUGCAAGACUAACCACGCAUGCAUGCCAGAUGUAAUGUGUCUUCAAACCGACAUAGCUAUUCACCCCACUAUAAAUAGGAGCCAUCCCUUUCACUGGACCAUUCUACCUCACACACACAUACGUUGGAGUACCCCCACCACUUGCCUUUUCACCUUCUACCACACUGCUGUCCUUCACUGCGGUGAAGAUCUUUGGGUUGCAUGCGCCACCAGGUACUAAUCAAGUAUCUUGUUGUGUUAGCCCUUCUUGCUUGAUUUCUUAUCUAUCUCCACCUCGGUUUGAAUCAGU
This 3103-nucleotide long non-coding RNA is filed under the name Triticum aestivum (bread wheat). RNAcentral describes it as "long non-coding RNA (TAES_LNC022124)". The record is from RNAcentral. Lineage: Eukaryota; Viridiplantae; Streptophyta; Magnoliopsida; Poales; Poaceae.